UGGAGGAGAACUUAGGGUUCACAAAAUUGAAGAGAUAAGGAAGAAAUUGAAACCAAAGAGAAGAUGCAAAGCCUUUCCCAAGGUUCUUGGCAACUGCUCCAUGCUCCAUUUGCGCCUCCCCUUCGCAUCUCCAUCUCCAAUUUGUGACCCAUCUUCUUCCUCAACCCAAAAGGGGCAAAAUCACCAUUGAAGAAGCUUGAAGACCCAAGGAGGAGUGGGAGAGCUUCCCAACACCCCAAAUAGCCUCCAAGGGCCUCUCCCAAUCUCUCUAGGUGAAGAAUGAAGUGUAGGAGGAGAAGUCCCUCAAAAAUCGUGAGACCCAUGUUUAAAUAACCCAUUUUGACAUAUCAGCGA
Molecule: long non-coding RNA, 354 nt
Filed under: Vigna radiata
Lineage: Eukaryota; Viridiplantae; Streptophyta; Magnoliopsida; Fabales; Fabaceae
Description: long non-coding RNA (VRAD_LNC013324)
Source: RNAcentral